GGUCGACCAGCCCUGAAGAACAGGAGCAUAUUCCAAGGUACCACUGUUCCUGUACCAGCACAUACAGCUUGGUGAUAGGCUCGCGGUUGUUUGGGGGCCAUUUCUGUUGUCUCCUUUCACAAGAGACAGAACGCUAUGCCCCCUGCAUCUCACAUCACAAGAGACCCUCUGGUGCCCUAUCACAGGACGGAUAGGAGGCUGGGAGACCCUCUGGUGCCCUAUCACAGGACGGAUAGGAGGCUGGGAGACCCUCUGGUGCCCUAUCACAGGACGGAUAGGAGGCUGGAGACCCUCUGGUGCCCUAUCACAGGACGGAUAGGAGGCUGGAGACCCUCUGGUGCCCUAUCACAGGACGGAUAGGAGGCUGGGAGACCCUCUGGUGCCCUAUCACAGGACGGAUAGGAGGCUGGAGACCCUCUGGUGCCCUAUCACAGGACGGAUAGGAGGCUGGAGAGACCCUCUGGUGCCCUAUCACGGGACGGAUAGGAGGCUUGGUCAACGGUUGUGAAUGUCCAACAGGGGCGGGGUAUAUAGGUGUUACUGUUGUCAUACCACGGUUUCCCAUAAAUGAGAGAGUUGUGUGUAACAUAUACUGUGCACAUGUGUUUAACAUGUGUUUAACAUGUGUGUGCGUGUGUGUGUGUUGCGUACAUGCGUGUGUUUUGGGUUCUAAAGGCCCCUUGAUUCCCUCCUUUACUGUCAGACCUCUGGGGACCUCGGCUUCAAACAGGAAGUGACAGUUGAUCACCACGGCGACCGCACAGUGUUCCCAUCAGGGAGGGUGGGUCCCUGAAACCGCUAACUUCUAGCUCAUUGAUGUGCUUGUUGACUCCGAUGCAGUCAUGCGAUGUGUGUUUCCUGACAUAGAAUUAACAACAUAAUUGUGUUACCUCCUCUCUUUGCAUAAUGUGCCCAUUGGCGCUACAUGAUUACAGGAAGUAGACACAAAUGUUUUUCGGAAGACAAUUUCUUCCCCAAAGUCGGGUUUUAAAAUGAAACCUGGGCGAAUGGUAAUUGGUUAAGGAUUUGGAUUCCUGGCACACAUGAUUAGAAACAGAUUUUAAAUCAUUUAGUGUAAUUAAAGUAUGCAUAAACAAUCCCCCGCCCUGUACAAACGACACACACACACACACACACACACACACACACACACACACACACACACACACACACACACACACACACACACACACACACACACACACGCCGCACACACACACACACACACACACACACACACACACACACACACACACACACACACACACACACACACACACACACACACAGGCACACAUGCACGCAUGCAUGCACACACAUUCUUAAGAUCUAGCCCUCAAACUGGGUGAGAAGCUUUGCAACAGCAGCGCUACGCAUAUGUUACCAUAGCUCUUGUAUGUUCCCAAAGGUCCACCAUGCAUGGUUAGUGUGCAAGUCAUUGUUUCAACCUAAUGUGCACGUUUCAAGUUUGUCAUUAGAAGCCUUAUGGUGCAAUAUUAACUUCAACACUUAAUUCACCUUGAACCACAGUCAAAGGUUCUGCCAAUACUAACAUUGUUCCCCGUUUCUUUUCUUCUUUUUUUUUAAACAAUCUCAGUACACCCUUUUAGGUGGCUAAAAGCUACUCCUAUCCUUAAAACAGGGGUGGAUGCAUUCUUUCCACCACUAGUUUGUGUUUGCUCAGGUUUGAGCCGCUACAUUCCAUUGAACCGUUGCAUUCCAAGGAAGGCCUCGACCGGCUGCUGGAGCAGAACCAAGGUCAACCACUGCAGCCGUGCAGUAGCACCGUGACACCGUGAUGAUCCAGAGCUGUUGACACACUCAUGUGUUUGGAGAGAGGUGUCUGCAGGCUUCUUCCAUGCGGGCGUGUGUGUGUGGGUCAGAGUCCACACACUGACACCAUUGACGCUGAAUACAACUGGGCAGUGACAACAGCACAGUCACUGCUCUGUGAGUGCACAAUAUGGCCGUCAUGCGUGAUGCCAGUGCACGUACACUGAAGUACCAUCAUCACCACGGCGACCAACCCAUCACGGCCAAUUGUAACGGAGUGCGGCACGGAGUGAAGUGUCCGAGAAGUGUAUCUACAGAGCGUACAAAACGUGACAGAAGUACCCAUCACCACGGUAACCGCCAGCACUCAGCCUCCACCAGACAAGAUGGCAAGGUGGUGAUCAUCUGGCACUUACACUUGUGUCUCCAUACCCCCCCCCCCCCACACACACACACACACACACACACACACACACACACACACACACACACACACACACACACACACACACACACACACACACACACACACACACACACACACACACACACAA
Gadus macrocephalus (Pacific cod) is the source of this 2327-nucleotide long non-coding RNA. RefSeq lists it as uncharacterized. The record is from RefSeq and is a predicted model, not a curated record. The transcript has 4 exons. NCBI's taxonomy places the organism in Eukaryota, Metazoa, Chordata, Actinopteri, Gadiformes, Gadidae.